UACGGGGGGGGCAAGCGUUGUUCGGAAUUACUGGGCGUAAAGGGCUCGUAGGCGGCCAACUAAGUCGAACGUGAAAUCCCUGGGCUCAACCCAGGAACUGCGUCCGAUACUGGAAGGCUUGAAUCCGGGAGAGGGAUGCGGAAUUCCAGGUGUAGCGGUGAAAUGCGUAGAUAUCUGGAGGAACACCGGUGGCGAAGGCGGCAUCCUGGACCGGUAUUGACGCUGAGGCGCGAAAGCCAGGGGAGCAAACGGG
This 253-nucleotide ribosomal RNA is filed under the name uncultured bacterium. RNAcentral describes it as "partial 16S ribosomal RNA". It matches the Rfam family "Bacterial small subunit ribosomal RNA", at positions 524 to 776 of the family's 1533-position model. The record is from RNAcentral.